Molecule: ribosomal RNA, 393 nt
Filed under: uncultured bacterium
Lineage: Bacteria
Description: bacterial SSU rRNA
Rfam family: Bacterial small subunit ribosomal RNA
Source: RNAcentral
UGAACGCUGGCGGCGUGCUUAACACAUGCAAGUCGAACGAACCUUCGGGUUAGUGGCGGACGGGUGAGUAACGCGUGAGAAUCUGCCCUCAGGAGGGGGAUAACAGCUGGAAACGGCUGCUAAUACCCCAUAUGCCGCGAGGUGAAAUGAAUUUCGCCUGAGGAUGAGCUCGCGUCUGAUUAGCUAGUUGGUGUAGGUAAUGGCUCACCAAGGCAUCGAUCAGUAGCUGGUCUGAGAGGAUGAUCAGCCACACUGGGACUGAGACACGGCCCAGACUCCUACGGGAGGCAGCAGUGGGGAAUUUUCCGCAAUGGGCGAAAGGCUGACGGAGCAACGCCGCGUGAGGGAUGAAGGCCUCUGGGCUGUAAACCUCUUUUAUCAAGGAAGAAGAUC